This is a long non-coding RNA of Zingiber officinale, 1313 nucleotides long. RefSeq lists it as uncharacterized. The record is from RefSeq and is a predicted model, not a curated record. The transcript is spliced from 7 exons. Lineage: Eukaryota; Viridiplantae; Streptophyta; Magnoliopsida; Zingiberales; Zingiberaceae.
ACUAUCUCUUCACGCCAUGACACCAAAUGGAGCGAUCCGUUUCGUUGCUCUCCUGCUCGCGACGAAGGCAAGAAGCUAUUGCUCUUCCUCUACGAUUCUUCACCGGUCACUUCAACGGAGACUUUCCCACUUCUCCGUGGCCCCGGUAGCCACUUCGCCUUCUUUCUCCGCGCCGUAGAAGCUCCUCGUCCGUUGCUUACACAAACCGCCGCCCCCUCUUCUCUGGUGGACUUUCUCUUCCGAGGCUCGGAUCGACGCCGCUGUGUCUCUUCCCCCAGCUCUGUCCAGGUUUGGGUGGCGAACUCCUCGGCCGAACUGUCCAUGGAGAGAUUCUGGCUGAAUCUAAACCCUUUUCGGUUCAGGCUGCUGCGUCGGGAUCGAUUCCCCUGAUAAAGGGGAUUUGCCCGGUUUGUAAAUGUUGGGGAUGAAAGGGGAGAGACGCCUCUAAAUCUUGCAGCACGGCGAAGAUGGACUGAGUGUGUCCGUGUACUCUUAGACCAUGGGGCUCUUGUUUCUUCUUCCACUAGGGAAUAUGGUCAUUCUGGGAGCACUCCUCUACAUUUGGCAGCUCGUGGAGGAAGUUUGGAUUGUGUUCGCACAUUGCUUGCAUGGGGAGCCGAUCAGCUCCAGAGGGAUUCAUCUGGGCGAAUACCUUAUUCUGUAGCUAUAAAGCACAAUCAUGGAGCUUGUGCAGCUUUGCUAAACCCAUCAGCAGCAGAACCUCUUGUUUGGCCUUCUCCAUUAAAGUUCAUCAGUGAACUUGAUCCAGAUGCAAGAGCUCUUCUAGAAGUAGCUCUGAUGGACGCUAACAAGGAAAGCGAGAAAAUAAUAUUGAAUUAAAGAAAAAAAUUGUUGUCUCCUGCAAAUGUGGAUGAAGCAUUUCAUGAUGAUGCUUCUGAGGGACUUGUCAAGCAAUUUGCGCAGGGGCACAAUUCCUCCAUCUAUUGGCUCUCUGAACCCAUUAUGAUUUCUGAAUUUAUCAACAAAUUUCUUGUCUGGUGAAGUUCCAAUCGUUGGAAUCCUUGUAACUUUCCAAAGCACUUCAUGACUCCUACAGCUUAAUUCUGCAUAUUUGAUUGCCAAGGGAAAUUUGUAUACUCGGUCACGUGAAGAUGCAGCCAGUAAGUUGCUGGAAAAGGCUUUAAAGAUUCAGUUGGGAAGAGGAUUUUAGCUGGCAUAUUAUGGAUUUCGAUUACACAACUAUUAUUUUCUCAUUUUGAUGUGUGUAGUUAAUUUUUGAAAUUUGAAGAUAACAUUUUCAUGGAUUGAAUGUAGUAAAUAUUUAGUUUUGUAUUGGUGGUUUGUUUAUAUUA